AUUCUAACUCUGAGCACUUAUU
Molecule: microRNA, 22 nt
Filed under: Sarcophilus harrisii (Tasmanian devil)
Lineage: Eukaryota; Metazoa; Chordata; Mammalia; Dasyuromorphia; Dasyuridae
Description: Sha-Mir-430-o29_5p (mature (co-guide))
Source: RNAcentral